GCUUAACACAUGCAAGUCGAGGGGCAGCAUGGUCUUAGCUUGCUAAGGCCGAUGGCGACCGGCGCACGGGUGAGUAACACGUAUCCAACCUGCCGUCUACUCUUGGACAGCCUUCUGAAAGGAAGAUUAAUACAAGAUGGCAUCAUGAGUCCGCAUGUUCACAUGAUUAAAGGUAUUCCGGUAGACGAUGGGGAUGCGUUCCAUUAGAUAGUAGGCGGGGUAACGGCCCACCUAGUCUUCGAUGGAUAGGGGUUCUGAGAGGAAGGUCCCCCACAUUGGAACUGAGACACGGUCCAAACUCCUACGGGAGGCAGCAGUGAGGAAUAUUGGUCAAUGGGCGAGAGCCUGAACCAGCCAAGUAGCGUGAAGGAUGACUGCCCUAUGGGUUGUAAACUUCUUUUAUAAAGGAAUAAAGUCGGGUAUGCAUACCCGUUUGCAUGUACUUUAUGAAUAAGGAUCGGCUAACUCCGUGCCAGCAGCCGCGGUAAUACGGAGGAUCCGAGCGUUAUCCGGAUUUAUUGGGUUUAAAGGGAGCGUAGAUGGAUGUUUAAGUCAGUUGUGAAAGUUUGCGGCUCAACCGUAAAAUUGCAGUUGAUACUGGAUAUCUUGAGUGCAGUUGAGGCAGGCGGAAUUCGUGGUGUAGCGGUGAAAUGCUUAGAUAUCACGAAGAACUCCGAUUGCGAAGGCAGCCUGCUAAGCUGCAACUGACAUUGAGGCUCGAAAGUGUGGGUAUCAAACAGGAUUAGAUACCCUGGUAGUCCACACGGUAAACGAUGAAUACUCGCUGUUUGCGAUAUACAGCAAGCGGCCAAGCGAAAGCGUUAAGUAUUCCACCUGGGGAGUACGCCGGCAACGGUGAAACUCAAAGGAAUUGACGGGGGCCCGCACAAGCGGAGGAACAUGUGGUUUAAUUCGAUGAUACGCGAGGAACCUUACCCGGGCUUAAAUUGCAGAUGAAUUACGGUGAAAGCCGUAAGCCGCAAGGCAUCUGUGAAGGUGCUGCAUGGUUGUCGUCAGCUCGUGCCGUGAGGUGUCGGCUUAAGUGCCAUAACGAGCGCAACCCUUGUUGUCAGUUACUAACAGGUUCCGCUGAGGACUCUGACAAGACUGCCAUCGUAAGAUGUGAGGAAGGUGGGGAUGACGUCAAAUCAGCACGGCCCUUACGUCCGGGGCUACACACGUGUUACAAUGGGGGGUACAGAGGGCCGCUACCACGCGAGUGGAUGCCAAUCCCCAAAACCUCUCUCAGUUCGGACUGGAGUCUGCAACCCGACUCCACGAAGCUGGAUUCGCUAGUAAUCGCGCAUCAGCCACGGCGCGGUGAAUACGUUCCCGGGCCUUGCACACACAGCCC
Molecule: ribosomal RNA, 1354 nt
Filed under: uncultured bacterium
Lineage: Bacteria
Description: bacterial SSU rRNA
Rfam family: Bacterial small subunit ribosomal RNA
Source: RNAcentral